AAAACUAUGUAAUGCAAGCAAUGUUCACAUCACUUGAUAGCAUUUCAAAGGGCAUAAUAAUUCUAAGUGUAGAGAAUUAUGUCUUUUCAAUGAUAUUUGAAGUGCAAUGGAAAAUGAUCUUACAAGCCUACCUACAGGUACACUUUGAAGAUGACCAAUUCACUGCCACAAAAAGAAGGGAUGUUGAAGUUGAGGCCCGAUGCAGUCCCAACAGUUUUCAUUCAUCGCCCUAAGCCGAAGAGGAAACCCCCUUCUGUGAGGGUGCCUCCAGAACCAAGUGCAACGGACCACACAUGGCACCAAAUUAAACUUCGAGAUUGAGGGAGAAAUUGAGGUGGAUUUCAAGAGCGAUGAAAAGGACAUGACAGGAGACAGAGAGCAAUCAAGAGGCCACUUUGCCAGGGGCAGCUGCUCCAGGGACCAGACUGCCAG
This is a long non-coding RNA of Gadus macrocephalus (Pacific cod), 432 nucleotides long. RefSeq lists it as uncharacterized. The record is from RefSeq and is a predicted model, not a curated record. The transcript is spliced from 3 exons. Lineage: Eukaryota; Metazoa; Chordata; Actinopteri; Gadiformes; Gadidae.